GACGAACGCUGGCGGCGUGCUUAACACAUGCAAGUCGAGCGGUAAGGCCCUUUCGGGGGUACACGAGCGGCGAACGGGUGAGUAACACGUGGGUGACCUGCCCUUAGCUCUGGGAUAAGCCUGGGAAACUGGGUCUAAUACCGGAUAUGACCUCAUGACUCAUGUUGUGGGGUGGAAAGCCUUGUGCGGCUAGGGAUGGGCCCGCGGCCUAUCAGCUUGUUGGUGGGGUAAUUGCCUACCAAGGCGACGACGGGUAGCCGGCCUGAGAGGGCGACCGGCCACACUGGGACUGAGACACGGCCCAGACUCCUACGGGAGGCAGCAGUGGGGAAUCUUGCGCAAUGGGCGAAAGCCUGACGCAGCGACGCCGCGUGAGGGAUGACGGCC
Molecule: ribosomal RNA, 387 nt
Filed under: uncultured bacterium
Lineage: Bacteria
Description: bacterial SSU rRNA
Rfam family: Bacterial small subunit ribosomal RNA
Source: RNAcentral